AGCUACAAGUUAACGAUUUCCUCAACAAUGAUCAAUAGAGAGAGGGGUGUCAGGGACUCACUGUUUGAGGAUGUAAGCGGGUAAAAGGGGUGACCUUGCCUCAGCAGGGCUCAGUCGCACCCAGAAUAACAUUUUGUCAGUUUUAUUAGUAAUACUAAUAUUUGGUUAAUGGGGCACCAAAGGAAUCUCCUAUAUGAUUUAGUGAUUAAAGAAUAAUAUUAAACAAUGAAUCUCCCAUUGGUUCACAAAGUAUGCAAUUUUUCUCUCAACUGAAAUGACAACCACAUUUUGUCAGCGAUAUUUGGUUAAUGGAGCACCAACAAAUCUCCUAGAGUAUUUCAUUUGGAGGUUAAAGGGAAUAAGAAUAAAGGAUGUAAAAUAACCAGUGACACCUUAGCUCUCACUACACACUUGGCAAACAAAUACAUUAGGUGACUACUGAUUAUCUGUAGCUAAAUCUUAUCUGAAGUACAACCAAGAUGAACAGAAACAUUUCACCUCACUUUUGGUGGAAAAAUACUCUUCUCUGAUUGAUCAUUCAGUUACACAGUGAUCCGCUUAACACAUCGCAGGUUGAUCUGCAAUCACAUAAGCAAGCAUUUGCAUUAGAACAAAAGGAAGAAUGAAAUGUUUGAUCUUUCAUAUGGUACUAUUGAUCCUAGAGCAACGCUAAAUAGGAGAUUAGUAACACACAUCACUCUCCCGGCAAGAAGCAGCUCUCCCGGCAGUAACACGCAUCACUCUCUCGGCAGAAGGUGACUCUUCUUCAGAUUGUUGACCAUAUUCAUUAUUCACAAUAACGAAGUACAACUCCAAAUCAGAAAGGUCGUCGAUAAUGCUGAGCAUGGAAAGGUUUCUGUAGUUACCAUUAAUGUAAUCAAUGAGUACCAACUAUUGCUUGAUGCAUAUAUAAACAAUCAGAAGGUUGUCUACCUAGAUUUCUUCCUACCCAACUUUCCUUUAUCAGCAAGGAGGAACUGUUUUUUUCAUAUAUAAACAAUAAGCAGGUGACCUAAUGGACUAUGCAACCCAUAGAUUAAUUAUGCAAGAAGUUACCAUUCCUAUAAUUAGCAAGCAUCAAUCAUUGUUUGGUGCAUCUACAAACAAUGAGGAGGCGGUCUAAUUCUGGAGCACAUAGAUUAAUUAUCUGUGUAGUCAGACUUCCUCUGUUAGGAAGCAGCAACUACUACCCGCCGCACAUAUUUCUCCCAAAUCACUAACCUGAACAGGUAUUACAGUACACUGAAAAUUGGGCACACCCUACAGACAUGGAUAUGAACCAAAAUGCAUAUAUCUCUCCCAAAGCACUAAACAGGAAGCAAACCACCAGGGAAACCAUAAGUACAUAUGGCCAGCCAUAUCUUAUGAAGGUAUCCUAUGCUACAAAGACACAAUACCCAAAAAGACAUUUGGAUUGCAGUGCAGCCUCACAAUUGAAGCCGAAAACAUCAAAGAUUAAGCAUGUCAAGAGUGCACAUUUUUAUCGGAUAGAAUCUCACUUGAAGGCGUGACAACAUGUUUCCUUGCACAACAUAGGUCAAUCCACAACCAAAAUGAACCAAAUGUUCACAAUAUCCUUUCUUGUAUGCAUCAAGCAGAAUUCAAAAUCUCAUGGAGGUUCUGUACCAUUUGCCUUUGGCCACCACCUGGACAGUACACAACCAAAUUUAGCUGAAGUUUAUAAUAAACAUGCAUGCAACGAUAGCAGCCUAUAUUAAUUUUAUACCUGGCUUACAGGAAACCAGAAGCUAUGUACUGGCAAUUAACCAGAAAAGGAGGAGAAAUUCAGAAAAAUCUAGUAUGUAACCUAGUUUAACAAUGCUUAUAUCCCCAAUCCAAGCUCUACAUAUUUCAGCUCACUAAUGCUUACAAAAAAUAAAAAAUAGUACCCUCAUUUUGGAACUUGAAUCUGCAAACAUGGUGUCUAACUAAAAAUCAGAGUCAUGGUUAAGAUAAAGGAGCACCUCUGGAACGAGAGCGGUGGCUAAAAGCAUCAGACCACCAAAACAUCCCAUAGCACACAGUCCAACAGCGAACCAUCUCCUGAACCUAAUUAAGUAAUGUAUAUAUGAAUCUAAACUACAUGACAUAAGCUGAAGAACAACACGAGCAUGCAGAUCCAACUCUGUGAAUUUGCAAACAAAAGGCCCAAAAAAUUCACCUCCAGAUGAGGUCUCCGAGAAGCAUAAAGUCGCCAUCCUUGUCUCCGUUCCGCUCACCGCCACGAGACUCAUCUCCUCGUACCCACCCUGCAUCCAAGAGCCAAAUCGUCAGAAACCCACCAGAAGAACAACACAUAACAUGCUCGUCUCUGCUGCUAUUGAGUACAUGAACAGGAUAUGUUCUUGGCUGCAAACUAUUAACUUUUUAGGAAUUUUAAGCAACAUUAUAGAAGCUGAAAUACAACCAGAUCUAUUUUAACAAUAGGUUUAUGAGAUUAUGGUGUGCCUUUUCUUAUCUAUCUGUCACAAUAUAUUAUAUAAUGGGUACAUGCUAUCUGGAACAUGAAAGACAAGGGAAAAUUAAAAGGGUCAACUGUUAUACAAUACAUAUGUACCCAGAGCCAUUAACUUAAAAGGGUCAAUAUAUUUUCUACACUAUGCUUUGUGAAAUUAACUCUUUUAUGUACCUCCCUCACAAACAUUCACGGUUACCAAAUCUAGAUGAUUUUUAUUUGAACUUUUAGAACUGAAUACCAAGAGCAUACAUGCCUCUUACUUUGCAACCUUAGCCAAACAUAGUGGAGAGAAUACGAGGAGUGCUGUAUAGGAAAAAAAUUAAGUUAAUAGCUGUCCCUGCAGUUUCCAUCAGAUUAACAUUAAAACUCAUCAAAAAGUAAGGAAUAGCGAGCCAAAUGUGAAUUGUAUUACAACACAAGGUUUUAAAUUGUGCGGUCCGAUAAAAAUGAAGUUAAAUGAUGUGUGCCCUAUGGUAUGCAGACUGUUUCAUCCUUAGAAAUUGUAAUGCAAAAUCAGGCUGUCUGCUAGCAUAAAGGUGGCUUUUAAAUAUUAGAAUGCCACUUCAAAGUUGAAGUAAGUAUGAACCCACAGAAAAUCACCACUACCCAACCAUAAACAGAGAGGAAGUAAUAUGAGCUGAGAUCUUCGAUGGCAUAAAAAAAUUUAGAGCAUAUUUGACAUAUCAUUUUGAAGUUAAAAAUAGCAAAUAAGCUACAGCCAAGAAAGAACACAUUAAGUAGCUAGAGAGUAUACACUACUUUCUAAUAGGAAAGAAGGUAAUUUACCCGGCAAGGUAUUGUCACUGAUUCCAACAUGAAAGAACAAAGAAACCUGGGAUAAUCCCAACCACAUCUGUCCAUACAAAAAACACAAGUCAAUACACCAAAGGCAUGCCCAAUACAAAAGGAGCAACACGAUAGGCAUCAUAAAAAGUACCUGUGAAACGCUCAGGCGUGUUUGUAGGCCUUGGGAGCUGAUUAAUUGGAGUCAGGACAUAGGUGCAGAAAGGAAAUUCUGCUUCUAGACCCUCCCAUCACGCAACAGUUGUAUACCUAGUGAACUUAAUCAUGUAUUGACUCUCCACCAGCCCGAAGACAUACUUCUUGAGAAAGACCAGAAACUUGCGACAGAUCAUCAACCCACACUCUUGGGGGACACAUAUAAAUUGGUUAACAAAUUUCUCAGGCAUCUCUGCAUACAUAUGGUUACCCUGCGAGGAAAAGAGUAUGGUUCAACACAGGAGAAAUAACAGACCAUUAAAUAACAGGACAAGAAAGACAGGAAACCAGAUCAAAGAAUACAUGUA
This 3765-nucleotide long non-coding RNA is filed under the name Triticum aestivum (bread wheat). Its description in RNAcentral is "long non-coding RNA (TAES_LNC003645)". Lineage: Eukaryota; Viridiplantae; Streptophyta; Magnoliopsida; Poales; Poaceae. The record is from RNAcentral.